GCCGGGGAGGGCCGGGGCAGACAGGCGAAUCAUGAGAAGGAGGCUCCUCUCUACCGGUGGAGAAGGAGCAGACCUCGAGAACCCUUCCUUAGUUCCUUUUACUGUCGGCGUCGUCCCGGUACAGAUCAGACAUAAUUUAAAUUCCCUUGCAUAGAAAUGCAUCAGGUUCAAUCUCCUUGAAUGAGGAAAAGUACAGGUGGUACAGUACACAGCAGCCUUGAUAGCCCUUGUGUAGAAAAAAAAUAAAGUCUCCCAUCUUCCAACAAAAUAUAAAUUGCAACCCUACAGUUUUGACAUGUGCAUCGACAUUAAUGUUUGACUUAACCAAGUAACUAGCAGCGCUACCCUUUCGGCGCAGGUCCAUUUAUUUGAUUUUUUGGAACAGUUUCGACACACUGCAUGAAUAUUUCACAUCACUAUGCUAGUUGAAUCGUGGAGUUGAUGUCAAUCAACAUAAGUGUUAUAUAUCAAAGUAAGUAAGCUGGCCAUUAAUAAAGCAUGGAGCUAAAGUAGAUCAAGUGGGCUACCUUAACGCCUUCUUGAUUCCAACAGAUCUUGUAUCCAUUUUGAGGCCAUCAAGUAAUGAAUCAAACUCCUACAGUUAUAGCGCAACGUCGAUCAUAAAAAAUGUAGAUGCGGGAUUCUAGUAAGUGCCAAAUCAUGAUUCUUUAUAGCUGCAAGUACCUCCAGCCAGCAAGCAUGCGCGCAGCCAAAUCAUGAAUCUUUAUCACCUGUACUUGCAAAA
RNAcentral lists this long non-coding RNA (745 nucleotides) under Triticum aestivum (bread wheat). RNAcentral describes it as "long non-coding RNA (TAES_LNC025016)". The record is from RNAcentral. Lineage: Eukaryota; Viridiplantae; Streptophyta; Magnoliopsida; Poales; Poaceae.